ACACUUCCUCGGUAACAGAGCAGCUAAUCUACACCUGAUUCAUUCUUCCACGCGCGGACAUUAUGAGUCUGUUUGACUGGUGUUUCCUGGUCAGUGCAGUUUAGUUUUGUUUACUGAAGUGAGUGGAAAGGCAGAACUUAGAUGAAAAGAUUCAGCUGUAAAUAAAAGAGGAAAUAAAUCCAUUCAGCUGGUGAUUUAAGACUGGAUGCUGCUCAUCAAAAUCCGCUUUACCGUCACUGAUGUCACAGACCGUCCUGCUGUCGUUGUAUCGCCAAUGCAGAGUCUGCAGCUUCUGUCCAAGUGAACACGGCUGGAUCCUGCUCAGCGAAAUCUUCUUUACCGUCACUGAUGUCACAGACCGUCCUGCUGUCGUUGUAUCGCCAGUACACUUCCUGGAGAUUCCGUUCCAGUAAACACGUUUGAAUGCUGCUCAUCGAAACUGGCUUCACCACCACUGAUGUCACACACUGUCCUGGUGCCUUCGUCUCGCCAAAAGACAACCGGCGGAUUCUGUGCGAACGUACACGUUUGAAUGCUGCUCAUCGAAACUGGCUUCACCACCACUGAUGUCACACACUGUCCUGGUGCCUUCGUCUCGCCAAAAGACAACCGGCGGAUUCUGUGCGAACGUACACGGUUUGUGUGAAUCUUAACACCUCAUCAGCUGACUCCUGGUCACGUUCCUGCUGUAGAAGAAGCUCCAGGAGGAUGGUACAGCAAUUAUUUACUGCAAAUCAGCUAUUUACUCCAUAAUAAACAAUUAUUACAGUAGAAAAAUAAAUACAUAAUAAAUAAUUACAGCUUAGUAGUUGUAAAUAUAAAGAUGAAAACAUGGGCAAAAUCUCAGAAUUGUACUUCUUAUAUAAACCUACUGUGUUAUAAUGCAACUGAUGAUGUAAAUUCCAUGAAGCUGUACUUUAUUCUACAAACUUAGUUUUGUGGAUUGAUGAGUAGCAGCCUACAUGUCCUCUUUUAUUCUGCUCUGAUGUGGCAAAAACAGGAGAGUCGUAGAUAGAGCUGGAGAAAGAAAGUCAGGACAGAAUGUUAGACCAUUUUUAAAGAAGAGAAUUAAAAAAUGCUAACUAGAUAGAUAUUUUUGUCUAUUUACUAAUGCAGCAGGCUAACAUUUUAUUCAAACCGAAACCUGUAUCAGCCAGCUGUUGCAACCUUGCAUUUAUAAUUUGAACAGCAUUGCCUAAAAGAAGAAGGUUAAUGUAAUGUUAGUAAGGUAAGUGUCCUUGUAAUAGAAUAAAAAUAUAUUCUUAAGCCCUACGGUUAUCUAAGUGUCAUAUCCUACUUAAAGAGAACUGUACUGUUCUCCGGUCAGUGACAAAAUAAAAACAAACACAUUUUUAAAAAAUGGUGUGUGAAUGAUGGUGUAUUUUGGGGUUUGACGAUUACAGCAGUUUAUAGUACAGCACUACUGAAUUAAACACCUUAAAAAAUAAAGUGUAAAUGGUGAA
Long non-coding RNA from Ictalurus punctatus (channel catfish), 1463 nucleotides. RefSeq lists it as uncharacterized. NCBI's taxonomy places the organism in Eukaryota, Metazoa, Chordata, Actinopteri, Siluriformes, Ictaluridae. The record is from RefSeq and is a predicted model, not a curated record. The transcript is spliced from 6 exons.